UGCACGGUGGCGCAGUUGGUAGCACUGUAGCCUUGCAGUAAGAAGAUCCUGGGUUUGAUUCCCGGCCGGGGGUCUUUCUGCAU
Non-coding RNA from Characodon lateralis, 83 nucleotides. The record is from the annotation of a GenBank genome assembly. NCBI's taxonomy places the organism in Eukaryota, Metazoa, Chordata, Actinopteri, Cyprinodontiformes, Goodeidae.